UACGUAGGGAGCGAGCGUUAUCCGGAAUUAUUGGGUGUAAAGGGUGCGUAGACGGGAAUACAAGUUAGUUGUGAAAUCCCUCGGCUUAACUGAGGAACUGCAACUAAAACUAUAUUUCUUGAGUGCAGGAGAGGUAAGUGGAAAUCCUAGUGUAGCGGUGAAAUGCGUAGAUAUUAGGAGGAACACCAGUGGCGAAGGCGACUUACUGGACUGUAACUGACGUUGAGGCACGAAAGUGUGGGGAGCAAACAGG
RNAcentral lists this ribosomal RNA (253 nucleotides) under uncultured bacterium. RNAcentral's name for it is "partial 16S ribosomal RNA". It matches the Rfam family "Bacterial small subunit ribosomal RNA", at positions 524 to 776 of the family's 1533-position model. The record is from RNAcentral.